This 228-nucleotide long non-coding RNA is filed under the name Linum usitatissimum (flax). Its description in RNAcentral is "long non-coding RNA (LUSI_LNC006319)". The record is from RNAcentral. Lineage: Eukaryota; Viridiplantae; Streptophyta; Magnoliopsida; Malpighiales; Linaceae.
CGGAUUCCUCCUGUUUCUCUAAGACUUCUGAGUCACCAUAGCAUAUCAAGUGUGUUUUUUUAUCUUUGGCAUUUUACCUAGUAUGUCCAGUGAUCUCAGUCCUAAAUGCUCUGCUGAUUUUCAUUGUACAAUCGUGAUUUUGAACUCGAUUCUAGUUGAUCACCCAUCAGACCAUUAUCCGGCUCUAAUGGACAUUUUCUCCCCAGCCGAUGCGAGUUCCAAGUCCAC